Molecule: non-coding RNA, 72 nt
Organism: Caenorhabditis brenneri
Lineage: Eukaryota; Metazoa; Nematoda; Chromadorea; Rhabditida; Rhabditidae
Source: Rfam
GACUGUUUGGCGCAAUGGUAGUGCAUUCGUCUCCAGAUCGAAUAGUUGGGCGUUCGAUCCGCUCAUCAUUGA